UUGCUGGGGUGGAUGAGUGGCGAACGGGUGAGUAAUACGUGAGUAACCUGCCCUUGACUCUGGGAUAAGCCUGGGAAACCGGGUCUAAUACUGGAUACGACGUCCUACCGCAUGGUGGGGCGUGGAAAGGGUUUUACUGGUUUUGGAUGGGCUCACGGCCUAUCAGCUUGUUGGUGGGGUAAUGGCCUACCAAGGCGACGACGGGUAGCCGGCCUGAGAGGGUGACCGGCCACACUGGGACUGAGACACGGCCCAGACUCCUACGGGAGGCAGCAGUGGGGAAUAUUGCACAAUGGGCGGAAGCCUGAUGCAGCGACGCCGCGUGAGGGAUGACGGCCUUCGGGUUGUAAACCUCUUUCAGCAGGGAAGAAGCCACAAGUGACGGUACCUGCAGAAGAAGCGCCGGCUAACUACGUGCCAGCAGCCGCGGUAAUACGUAGGGCGCAAGCGUUGUCCGGAAUUAUUGGGCGUAAAGAGCUCGUAGGCGGUUUGUCGCGUCUGCUGUGAAAGCCCGGGGCUCAACCCCGGGUCUGCAGUGGGUACGGGCAGACUAGAGUGCAGUAGGGGAGACUGGAAUUCCUGGUGUAGCGGUGAAAUGCGCAGAUAUCAGGAGGAACACCGAUGGCGAAGGCAGGUCUCUGGGCUGUUACUGACGCUGAGGAGCGAAAGCAUGGGGAGCGAACAGGAUUAGAUACCCUGGUAGUCCAUGCCGUAAACGUUGGGCACUAGGUGUGGGGGACAUUCCACGUUCUCCGCGCCGUAGCUAACGCAUUAAGUGCCCCGCCUGGGGAGUACGGCCGCAAGGCUAAAACUCAAAGGAAUUGACGGGGGCCCGCACAAGCGGCGGAGCAUGCGGAUUAAUUCGAUGCAACGCGAAGAACCUUACCAAGGCUUGACAUCCA
This 902-nucleotide ribosomal RNA is filed under the name Kocuria flava. RNAcentral describes it as "bacterial SSU rRNA". It matches the Rfam family "Bacterial small subunit ribosomal RNA", at positions 79 to 990 of the family's 1533-position model. The record is from RNAcentral. Lineage: Bacteria; Bacillati; Actinomycetota; Actinomycetes; Micrococcales; Micrococcaceae.